This 466-nucleotide ribosomal RNA is filed under the name uncultured bacterium. RNAcentral describes it as "partial 16S ribosomal RNA". It matches the Rfam family "Bacterial small subunit ribosomal RNA", at positions 28 to 507 of the family's 1533-position model. The record is from RNAcentral.
GACGAACGCUGGCGGCGCGCCUAACACAUGCAAGUCGAACGAGCGAGAGAGAGCUUGCUUUCUCAAGCGAGUGGCGAACGGGUGAGUAACGCGUGAGGAACCUGCCUCAAAGAGGGGGACAACAGUUGGAAACGACUGCUAAUACCGCAUAAGCCCACGACCCGGCAUCGGGUAGAGGGAAAAGGAGCAAUCCGCUUUGAGAUGGCCUCGCGUCCGAUUAGCUAGUUGGUGAGGUAACGGCCCACCAAGGCGACGAUCGGUAGCCGGACUGAGAGGUUGAACGGCCACAUUGGGACUGAGACACGGCCCAGACCCCUACGGGAGGCAGCAGUGGGGAAUAUUGCACAAUGGGGGAAACCCUGAUGCAGCGACGCCGCGUGGAGGAAGAAGGUCUUCGGAUUGUAAACUCCUGUUGUUGAGGAAGAUAAUGACGGUACUCAACAAGGAAGUGACGGCUAACUACGUG